Non-coding RNA from Rhopilema esculentum, 591 nucleotides. NCBI's taxonomy places the organism in Eukaryota, Metazoa, Cnidaria, Scyphozoa, Rhizostomeae, Rhizostomatidae. The record is from RefSeq and is a predicted model, not a curated record.
AGCAAACUAUAUUGCGGGUUGCCAUCAAACACCAAAUCAGCCCUUUUAUUGGCACGCAUUCUUUGUCAGCCCUCAUUUUCUCAUAGAUAACUUCGCGAAGCUCUUACCGUUCAAAUCACGAUUGAUGUGAAGAAGAGUAAUGAAAAUAGCAAUUAGACACAUUGAACUUCACAGGUCUGCUCCAGAUAUUAUUAGGAGAGAUGGGCUAAUCAUGUGAAAGCACAGGAAGCAAGAGGGUUGCAUAAAGGGAAGGUCAAGCUACGCCAUUGGCUGCGAUGGAUUAGUGAUAUCAGGUUCAUCAACAGAACCAGAAAAACAACAAAUAAAGACAUUGCAGCAAUGUUGAUGAAAAUUUCAAGAAAGUUGCAGUGACAGUUUCGGGAGACAUACAUACGAGGCAGAAACUGAAAGAUGUAUCAACUCUAUUCACCAAAGAUUGUGACGGGAAUAAGUGAAUAAAGAUGAAGACCUGAGUUAUGUCUACAAUUUCAAAGCUUGGAUGGUACAUGAAGACAAAUCUUGGCAAUUGAUUGGUAGGAACACAUGAAGCUCAAUACUGAAACUGAUUCUUGAUAACUAACAACUUACCUU